CCUACGGGAGACAGCAGUGAGGAAUAUUGGUCAAUGGACGAGAGUCUGACCCAGCCACGUAGCGUGAAGGAUGACUGCCCUAUGGGUUGUAAACUUCUUUUAUAUGGGAAUAAAAUGUUCCACGUGUGGGAUUUUGUAUGUACCAUAUGAAUAAGGAUCGGCUAACUCCGUGCCAGCAGCCGCGGUAAUACGGAGGAUCCGAGCGUUAUCCGGAUUUAUUGGGUUUAAAGGGAGCGUAGGUGGAUUGUUAAGUCAGUUGUGAAAGUUUGCGGCUCAACCGUAAAAUUGCAGUUGAAACUGGCAGUCUUGAGUACAGUAGAGGUGGGCGGAAUUCGUGGUGUAGCGGUGAAAUGCUUAGAUAUCACGAAGAACUCCGAUGGCGAAGGCAGCUCACUGGACUGCAACUGACACUGAGGCUCGAAAGUGUGGGUAUCAAACAGGAUUAGAUACCCUAGUAGUC
This 460-nucleotide ribosomal RNA is filed under the name uncultured bacterium. RNAcentral's name for it is "partial 16S ribosomal RNA". It matches the Rfam family "Bacterial small subunit ribosomal RNA", at positions 338 to 795 of the family's 1533-position model. The record is from RNAcentral.